RNAcentral lists this ribosomal RNA (324 nucleotides) under Sandonidae sp. RNAcentral's name for it is "SSU rRNA". The stretch from base 112 to 324 matches the Rfam family "Eukaryotic small subunit ribosomal RNA", at positions 742 to 955 of the family's 1831-position model. The record is from RNAcentral. RNAcentral also lists the same sequence under 1 other name. Lineage: Eukaryota; Cercozoa; Glissomonadida; Sandonidae.
ACCAUCACGCUAGUCACCUUCAGCCGGCCACGGUUUCGUGUGUCAGUGUUGUUGGUUCCAGCGUUCCUUCCAGUCGUUGUCGUGUCUACUCUUCACUGAGUGGACCGGCCGAUUGGAUCGUUUACUUUGAAAAAAUUAGAGUGUUUCAAGCAGGCUCGAUGCUAUGAAUACAUUAGCAUGGAAUAAUAAUUUAGGACUUCGGUUCUAUUUUGUUGGUUUCUAGGACUGAAGUAAUGAUUGAUAGGGAUAGUUGGGGGUGCUAGUAUUCAGCGGCCAGAGGUGAAAUUCUCGGAUUCGCUGAAGACUAACUUAUGCGAAAGCAUU